GAUAACCAUGCUUUUUGUUGCAUUUGUCCACUGUGUGUCCCAACAUACCAUAAAAACUACAUAUAGGCUUCUUUCUUUGAGCAUUAGGACCAGUACUCGAAUUGUAAUGUGAUUGAAAUGGAGCAGGUAACAGACCAGAAGUAGAGUUGCAAGAAGUUCCAGGAUUGGAAAAAUUUUAAAAUUGAGAAGCUGCAUUAGUAUUGCCUUUGCUAUGACAAACUGUUGG
RNAcentral lists this long non-coding RNA (226 nucleotides) under Ricinus communis (castor bean). RNAcentral's name for it is "long non-coding RNA (RCOM_LNC001844)". The record is from RNAcentral. Lineage: Eukaryota; Viridiplantae; Streptophyta; Magnoliopsida; Malpighiales; Euphorbiaceae.